AAUGGCAGGUCAGCAUACUGCCGUGAAUACGUUCCCGGGCCUUGUACACACCGCCCGUCACACCAUGAGAGUCGAUAACACCCGAAGCCUGUAGUCUAACCAUAAGGGGGACGCAGUCGAAGGUGGGAUUGAUAAUUAGGGUGAAGUCGUAACAAGGUAUC
RNAcentral lists this ribosomal RNA (161 nucleotides) under uncultured bacterium. RNAcentral's name for it is "partial 16S ribosomal RNA". It matches the Rfam family "Bacterial small subunit ribosomal RNA", at positions 1340 to 1500 of the family's 1533-position model. The record is from RNAcentral.